Molecule: ribosomal RNA, 484 nt
Filed under: uncultured bacterium
Lineage: Bacteria
Description: partial 16S ribosomal RNA
Rfam family: Bacterial small subunit ribosomal RNA
Source: RNAcentral
AUUGAACGCUGGCGGCAUGCUUUACACAUGCAAGUCGAACGGCAGCGCGGGCUUCGGCCUGGCGGCGAGUGGCGAACGGGUGAGUAAUACAUCGGAACGUGCCCAGUAGUGGGGGAUAGCUCGGCGAAAGCCGGAUUAAUACCGCAUACGACCUGAGGGUGAAAGCGGGGGAUCUUCGGACCUCGCGCUAUUGGAGCGGCCGAUGGCAGAUUAGCUAGUUGGUGGGGUAAAGGCCUACCAAGGCGACGAUCUGUAGCUGGUCUGAGAGGACGACCAGCCACACUGGGACUGAGACACGGCCCAGACUCCUACGGGAGGCAGCAGUGGGGAAUUUUGGACAAUGGGCGAAAGCCUGAUCCAGCAAUGCCGCGAGUGUGAUGAAGGCCUUCGGGUUGUAAAGCACUUUUGGCGGGAACGAAAAGGACUGUGCCAAUACCACGGUUCGAUGACGGUACCCGCAGAAUAAGCACCGGCUAACUACGUG